This 433-nucleotide ribosomal RNA is filed under the name uncultured bacterium. RNAcentral's name for it is "partial 16S ribosomal RNA". It matches the Rfam family "Bacterial small subunit ribosomal RNA", at positions 29 to 507 of the family's 1533-position model. The record is from RNAcentral.
AACGAACGCUGGCGGCAUGCCUAACACAUGCAAGUCGAACGAAACCUUCGGGACUAUGGGCGCUCGGCGUCGUAGCCCGUGGGAACCUGCACUUGGGUUCGGAAUAACUCCCCGAAAGGGGUGCUAAUACCGGAUAAUGUCUUCGACUCAAAGAUUUAUGGCCUUUGGUGGUUCUCGCGUUGGAUUAGCUGGUGGUUAGGGUAAAAGCUCACCAAGGCGCCUAUUCAUAGCUGGGAUGCGAGGAUGCUCAGCCACACUGGGACUGAGACACGGCCCAGAAUCCUACGGGAGGGAGCAGUGGGGAAUAUUGGACAAUGGGGGAAGGCCUGAUCCAGCUAUGCCGGGUGAGUGCUGAAGGCCUUAGGGUUGUAAAGCUCUAUUACCCGGGAUGAUAAUGACGGUACCGGGAGAAUAAGCUCCGGCUAACUACGUG